Long non-coding RNA from Photinus pyralis (common eastern firefly), 3096 nucleotides. RefSeq lists it as uncharacterized. The record is from RefSeq and is a predicted model, not a curated record. The transcript has 3 exons. NCBI's taxonomy places the organism in Eukaryota, Metazoa, Arthropoda, Insecta, Coleoptera, Lampyridae.
GUUUUAGUUUGAGCAAAGAUAGUCUGUGAGUAAUAUCUUAGUCAGGAGUAUAAUAUAGAGGUGGUAAUGUCUGUCCGACACGAAGUGUCAACAGUGAGGGGCAUGAACUGUAACAGGGCGCUCGCACAAGUAAAAAAAACUGGAACUUUAGAAACAAACUAAACAUAUAAAUACAACUUCACGGGGGCGAAACAUCAUCAAUUACUGUUGUAUUGAUAAAUUGGUACCAUCCAAAGACGCGAAAGAAUCAAAGAAAGCAACAUGGAAGAAAUUCAGCCGAAAAAAUGGAAGAAGAUGACAAUACAAACCAAAAAUUAUUUCAUAUCGAAUGUUAACAAUGUUCAGAAAAGGGCAAACCUAAAACUCAGAACAUGAACAUGAACAACUAAUUACUGAAGGAGAUAAGAUCGUGGCAAAGUGCGGAAACAUUUUUUAAACGGGAAAGAAGAACAAAAUUUGAACCCCAGGGGAUAACGGGAUAGUGGUGGAGGUGCUGCUGAACUUACAGGAAGAACAGGGAAAGAAGCACUUUUGUUUCCACUUUUUGUCAAAUAGCGCAAGUUAUAGACGUAAAAACGUGUUAUUGAAAAAGGGUGGUAGUUUGAAACUUGAUUUUUUCUUGUGGGUUUGUUUGAAGAGUACACUGUACACAACUCGACCAAGGCAUGUAGAUCAGAUUCAGAAUUCCAAAUUCAAGAUGAAAUUCAUUGUAUCCCAGUUACGAUUACAGCGAUCAAUGAGGACUAACAACAGCAUCUUUCAAGUCGCACCUAAUGGUUGCACCUAGUUCAUGCCAAAUGAAAUCAGAAUUGUGGUUUCGCACCUCUAGGUGUGUAGGGUAGCAUAAAUUUUUUAUUUGAGAUGGAUAUAUUGUAGCGAAGAUCCUAUAAAUCCAGGAAGACAUCGGGGCGCCAUCAAGUCGAUAAAACAGUGGCUAUAAGGAAUGGAAGCGGACGCGAGGCAUUUUUCCUGAUGAUACACCUUCUAGACUAUUCCAGAAUGUGAUGUUUUCUAGAAACUUUUCGUUUGCUAGGUAUAUAAGCAAAUUGAAUUGUGUUUAAAGGCAGUUUUAACAUCGACUCCGAAUUGAUGGUACUGAUUUCGCACUUUUGUGUUAUAAAUCUACAAGUAAUAAAUUUGGGUAAAAAGGAGUGAUAAAUAAUAAUUAUCUGUUAUAAAACGCGCAAUUUAUGGCCUAUUAUAAAUGUAUUAUUACAUAAUUAUUGUAAAUAAAUAAAUCACUUGAUUAAAUUUACGUUACAAGAUCUGCUUAAGCUUCACAGAAAGUAAAUCCUUAAACUGUUACCAGCACUAUACCAAUGGCCAAUAUCAACUUUCCUUUUCCAGUUGAAUACAUCGCACAUGAACGAAAAUAAAAAUACGGAAGCCAAAGAGGAAGAAGUUAUUUUAGUGGCAUAUGAUUGGUCGCUCUUCCCAAGAGAUUUUAUUAUUUAAAAGUAGACAUAGAGAAAAACAAUACACUUAAAUCCCUAAAUGUCUACUUCUUCAAACUAUCGCUGUAUAUUGUACCAACAAUGGUACAAGCUUUGAAUAUAUUAUAUUCAAAUGUACAAGCUUUAGCACUGUACUGAACCAAAUAGCGAAAAAAAGUGAACGGCCAUUUCCUUGCAGUUGGGAUGGUUGCGGUAAGAGAUUCGCACGUUCAGACGAACUGGCAAGGCAUACCCGAACUCACACAGGAGAGAAAAACUUUGCGUGUCCCGUAUGUAAUAAGAAGUUCAUGAGGAGCGAUCAUCUCAGCAAGCACGCUAGGAGACAUCCCAAUUUCGAUCCUUCAGUAUUACGCCAGCGUAGGGCGCCGAAUAGAGCUUUCUCAAUUAAUUCCAGCGAUGGAACUCCAUCCGAUGUUCUCUCAGACUCGAUGCCUAGUCCUUAAUGUGUGCAUGGACGUAGUUAGCUGUUAAUAGUUGUUCUGUAAAAAUAUUGUGCAACUGACAUAAAUGCGCAUAAUUGGAUUCUAAUACUGUUAAGUCUAAUUAUAAUGAUAUCCAAAUACUAUUUGUUUCCCUUUAUAAAUGUUAAUUUGGUGAAAUCAUUACUUGAGCGGUCAAAUAACAACUAACAACUGUUACGAUACCAGUUUGCACUGAAAACCUAAUAAUCUGGUAUUGUUUUUAUAUUUAGCACAUUGUGUCAAAUUUAAUAUGAAAUUAAUUUUUGUUCCCAGAACAAGAUACAUUACCUAUUUACAAAUUUCUUUUGUGACUCUUAAGCAAUGACAAAGCCAACAUAUCAAGUUUUUUUAGGAAACAUAUUUUUAUAAACUUUUAGCAUUGAAGGUAUAAUUUUUCAUGUGAUAGUUACUUAUCUAAGAUGUUAAGGAUGCUUGUAGAGAGUGUUUGCCUGGACUAUAAAAUGACCAUAGAUCUUAUGUAGGUAGACAAUUAGGAACAUGUACUUAUUUAUUUUAGUUUUUUUUGUACCUACUCAUCAUUUGCUUGUUUGCUUUAAUUUAGCAAACCCUUUGUAAUCUCGUUUUAAGUGGUUUUCAGUGAUAAGAAAACUUAACGUUGCUUAUUUCUCAUAAAAAUCGGCUUCUUUAGUACAAAUUACUUGCCAAUUACAUUAUCGGUACCUAGCAGUAACAUAAAUUUCCCACGUGUGGUAGAGAAAAGUAAGUAACCUAAAACAAUAAAUUAGUAAUAUAGUAGUAUUGAUAAUGAUUAAAUCACAGUCGUGUAUUAAGAACAAUUACUAAAUAAACCUAUUUUUACAUAAUUUGAAAAUAAAUAAACAAAUGUGUUAUAAUCUCUCCAUAAAAAUGAUAUGAUAAUUAUGCAACAUGCAUUUAACCGUUGCCACCGGAUGGCAACGAUUUAACUCGUUACUGAAUAUGAUAUUGAUUUGUGUUUUUACUAUACUUAUAGUUUCAUGUAUUACUUUAUUUAUGUAUUUACUUAAACUAGGUACUAUACAUACCUACAACAUUUGUUUGAUCAAUAUAAAUCUACCUACUCGUAGUACCCAUAGUUACACACAGGUUUUGACUUUAUGUUUAGUUUUACAGUUUGUACCUGUUUCAUCUGGUAGCCUAUUUAACACGUUUUUUUAAAGAAAUAUAUGUAUCUACAUAUA